GCGUUGGUCGAAGCAGCAGCGGCGCCAGGAGCCCGCCUCUAUGAUGAAGUUCAAGCCCAACCAGACGCGGACAUAUGACCGCGAGGGCUUCAAGAAGCGGGCGGCGUGCCUGUGCUUCCGGAGCGAGCUGGAAGACGAGGUCCUGCUGGUGAGUAGCAGUCGGUACCCAGACCAGUGGAUUGUCCCAGGAGGAGGGAUGGAGCCAGAGGAGGAGCCCGGCGGCGCCGCUGUGAGGGAAGUUUAUGAGGAGGCUGGGGUCAAAGGAAAAUUAGGCAGACUCCUGGGCAUAUUUGAGCAGAACCAAGACCGAAAGCACAGAACUUAUGUUUAUGUUCUUACCGUCACUGAAAUACUAGAAGAUUGGGAAGACUCUGUUAAUAUAGGAAGGAAGAGAGAAUGGUUCAAAGUAGAAGAUGCACUCAAAGUUCUUCAGUGCCAUAAACCUGUCCAUGCAGAAUAUCUGGAAAAACUAAAACUGGGUUGUCCCCCAACCAAUGGAAAUUCCACAGCCCUCCGGGGUGCCAUCCAGU
Castor canadensis (American beaver) is the source of this 530-nucleotide non-coding RNA. Lineage: Eukaryota; Metazoa; Chordata; Mammalia; Rodentia; Castoridae. The record is from RefSeq and is a predicted model, not a curated record.